ACUCCUACGGGAGGCAGCAGUGGGGAAUAUUGGACAAUGGGCGGAAGCCUGAUCCAGCAAUACCGCGUGUGUGAAGAAGGCCUUAGGGUUGUAAAGCACUUUUAUGUAGGAAGAAGGUAUGUGUGUUAAUAGCACAUGUAAUUGACGGUACUACAAGAAUAAGCACCGGCUAACUCCGUGCCAGCAGCCGCGGUAAUACGGAGGGUGCGAGCGUUAAUCGGAAUUACUGGGCGUAAAGGGGUACGUAGGCGGCUUUAUAAGUCAGAUGUGAAAUCCCCGGGGCUUAACCUGGGAACUGCAUUUGAAACUGUAUGGCUAGAGUGAGUGAGAGGUUAGUGGAAUUCCAGGCGUAGCGGUGAAAUGCGUAGAGGUCUGGAGGAACAUCAGUGGCGAAGGCGACUAACUGGCACUACACUGACGCUGAGGUACGAAAGCGUGGGGAGCGAACAGGAUUAGAUACCCUGGUAGGAUAGCG
Molecule: ribosomal RNA, 475 nt
Filed under: uncultured bacterium
Lineage: Bacteria
Description: bacterial SSU rRNA
Rfam family: Bacterial small subunit ribosomal RNA
Source: RNAcentral